AGUCUGGUGCCAGCAGCCGCGGUAAUUCCAGCUCCAAUAGCGUAUAUUAAAGUUGUUGCAGUUAAAAAGCUCGUAGUUGGAUUUCUGUUAAUAAUUUAUAUAAAAUAUUUUGAUGAAUAUUUAUAUAAUAUUAACAUAAUUCAUAUUACUAUUUUUUUUAGUAUAUGAAAUUUUACUUUGAGAAAAUUAGAGUGCUUAAAGCAGGCAUAUGCCUUGAAUACUCCAGCAUGGAAUAAUAUUAAAGAUUUUUAUCUUUCUUAUUGGUUCUAAGAUAAGAAUAAUGAUUAAUAGGGACAGUUGGGGGCAUUUGUAUUUAACAGUCAGAGGUGAAAUUCUUAGAUUUGUUAAAGACAAACUAAUGCGAAAGCAUUUGCCAAGGAUGUUUUCAUUAAUCAAGAACGAAAGUUAGGG
RNAcentral lists this ribosomal RNA (411 nucleotides) under Cryptosporidium hominis. RNAcentral's name for it is "SSU rRNA". It matches the Rfam family "Eukaryotic small subunit ribosomal RNA", at positions 558 to 995 of the family's 1831-position model. Lineage: Eukaryota; Apicomplexa; Conoidasida; Eucoccidiorida; Cryptosporidiidae. The record is from RNAcentral.